This 87-nucleotide transfer RNA is filed under the name Myxococcota bacterium. RNAcentral's name for it is "tRNA-Leu". It matches the Rfam family "tRNA". Rfam says of the family: Transfer RNA (tRNA) molecules are approximately 80 nucleotides in length. Their secondary structure includes four short double-helical elements and three loops (D, anti-codon, and T loops). Further hydrogen bonds mediate the characteristic L-shaped molecular structure. tRNAs have two regions of fundamental functional importance: the anti-codon, which is responsible for specific mRNA codon recognition, and the 3' end, to which the tRNAs corresponding amino acid is attached (by aminoacyl-tRNA synthetases). tRNAs cope with the degeneracy of the genetic code in two manners: having more than one tRNA (with a specific anti-codon) for a particular amino acid; and 'wobble' base-pairing, i.e. permitting non-standard base-pairing at the 3rd anti-codon position. The record is from RNAcentral. Lineage: Bacteria; Pseudomonadati; Myxococcota.
GCGGCGGUGGCGGAACUGGUAGACGCGUCAGCUUGAGGGGCUGGUGGGGGCAACCCCGUGGAGGUUCGAUUCCUCUUCGCCGCACCA